This 407-nucleotide ribosomal RNA is filed under the name uncultured bacterium. RNAcentral's name for it is "partial 16S ribosomal RNA". It matches the Rfam family "Bacterial small subunit ribosomal RNA", at positions 30 to 526 of the family's 1533-position model. The record is from RNAcentral.
AUUGAACGCUGGCGGCAGGCCUAACACAUGCAAGUCGAACGGAGUGGCGGACGGGUGAGUAAUACUUAGGAAUCUACCUAGUAGUGGGGGAUAGCACGGGGAAACUCGUAUUAAUACCGCAUACUAUCAGAUGAGCCUAGGUCGGAUUAGCUAGUUGGUGGGGUAAAGGCCUACCAAGGCGACGAUCCGUAACUGGUCUGAGAGGAUGAUCAGUCACACUGGAACUGAGACACGGUCCAGACUCCUACGGGAGGCAGCAGUGGGGAAUAUUGGACAAUGGGCGAAAGCCUGAUCCAGCCAUGCCGCGUGUGUGAAGAAGGUCUUCGGAUUGUAAAGCACUUUAAGUUGGGAGGCGUUACCAACAGAAUAAGCACCGGCUAACUUCGUGCCAGCCGCCGCGGUAAUUC